This 383-nucleotide ribosomal RNA is filed under the name uncultured organism. RNAcentral describes it as "bacterial SSU rRNA". It matches the Rfam family "Bacterial small subunit ribosomal RNA", at positions 367 to 762 of the family's 1533-position model. The record is from RNAcentral.
CGCAAUGGGCGAAAGCCUGACAGAGCAAUACCGCGUGAGGGAUGAAGACUUACUGAGUUGUAAACCUCGGUGCCUUAAGGAAGAAGAUCUGACGGUACUUAAGGUGGAAAGCAUCGGCUAACUCCGUGCCAGCAGCCGCGGUAAGACGGAGGAUGCAAGUGUUAUCCGGAAUCACUGGGCGUAAAGCGUCUGUAGGUUGUUCAAUAAGUCAACUGUUAAAUCUUGAGGCUCAACUUCAAAAUCGCAGUCGAAACUAUUAAACUAGAGUAUAGUAGGGGUAAAGGGAAUUUCCAGUGGAGCGGUGAAAUGCGUAGAGAUUGGAAAGAACACCAAUGGCGAAAGCACUUUACUGGGCUAUUACUGACACUGAGAGACGAAAGCUA